CCUCUCUCUGAUCUUCUCCACAUCUUAGCUGCAAGAAACCCUAGGGUUUCUUGGCCGCCCACCCCAAAUAAGAAAGAAAGGAGGCACUGGGGUUUCUAGCGCCCACUUUGUGCAUGCCUCCCUUUUUGUACGCCCCCUUUUGGCCGCUCAAGAGGAGCUCUAUGCCUCAUCUUUUGAUUUUUUGAGGUUUCAUCAAGGGUACUUCUAGGUCCCA
Molecule: long non-coding RNA, 214 nt
Filed under: Elaeis guineensis (African oil palm)
Lineage: Eukaryota; Viridiplantae; Streptophyta; Magnoliopsida; Arecales; Arecaceae
Description: long non-coding RNA (EGUI_LNC050114)
Source: RNAcentral